RNAcentral lists this ribosomal RNA (778 nucleotides) under uncultured bacterium. RNAcentral's name for it is "bacterial SSU rRNA". It matches the Rfam family "Bacterial small subunit ribosomal RNA", at positions 670 to 1447 of the family's 1533-position model. The record is from RNAcentral.
CAUGUGUAGCGGUGAAAUGCGUAGAUAUAUGGAGGAACACCAGUGGCGAAAGCGGCUCUCUGGUCUGUCACUGACGCUGAGGCUCGAAAGCGUGGGUAGCGAACAGGAUUAGAUACCCUGGUAGUNCACGCCGUAAACGAUGAGUGCUAGGUGUUAGGCCCUUUCCGGGGCUUAGUGCCGGAGCUAACGCAAUAAGCACUCCGCCUGGGGAGUACGACCGCAAGGUUGAAACUCAAAGGUAUUGACGGGGGCCCGCACAAGCGGUGGAGCAUGUGGUUUAAUUCGAAGCAACGCGAAGAACCUUACCAGGUCUUGACAUCCCGAUGCUAUUCUUAGAGAUAGGAAGUUACUUCGGUACAUCGGAGACAGGCGGUGCAUGGUUGUCGUCAGCUCGUGUCGUGAGAUGUUGGGUUAAGUCCCGCAAUGAGCGCAACCCUUAUUGUUAGUUGCCAUCAUUAAGUUGGGCACUCUAGCGAGACUGCCGGUAAUAAACCGGAGGAAGGUGGGGAUGACGUCAAAUCAUCAUGCCCCUUAUGACCUGGGCUACACACGUGCUACAAUGGUCGGUACAACGAGUUGCGAGCCGGUGACGGCAAGCUAAUCUCUGAAAGCCGAUCUCAGUUCGGAUUGGAGGCUGCAACUCGCCUCCAUGAAGUCGGAAUCGCUAGUAAUCGCGGAUCAGCACGCCGCGGUGAAUACGUUCCCGGGCCUUGUACACACCGCCCGUCACACCACGAGAGUUUGUAACACCCGAAGUCGGUGAGGUANCCUUUUAGGG